This 482-nucleotide ribosomal RNA is filed under the name uncultured bacterium. RNAcentral describes it as "partial 16S ribosomal RNA". It matches the Rfam family "Bacterial small subunit ribosomal RNA", at positions 30 to 507 of the family's 1533-position model. The record is from RNAcentral.
AUUGAACGCUGGCGGCAUGCUUUACACAUGCAAGUCGAACGGUAACAGCACUUCGGUGGCUGACGAGUGGCGAACGGGUGAGUAAUACAUCGGAACGUGCCUAGUAGUGGGGGAUAACUACUCGAAAGAGUAGCUAAUACCGCAUGAGAUCUAAGGAUGAAAGCAGGGGACCUUCGGGCCUUGCGCUACUAGAGCGGCUGAUGGCAGAUUAGGUAGUUGGUGGGAUAAAAGCUUACCAAGCCGACGAUCUGUAGCUGGUCUGAGAGGACGACCAGCCACACUGGGACUGAGCCACGGCCCAGACUCCUACGGGAGGCAGCAGUGGGGAAUUUUGGACAAUGGGCGCAAGCCUGAUCCAGCAAUGCCGCGUGCAGGAUGAAGGCCUUCGGGUUGUAAACUGCUUUUGUACGGAACGAAAAGCCCUCUUCUAAUACAGGAGGGUCAUGACGGUACCGUAAGAAUAAGCACCGGCUAACUACGUG